Long non-coding RNA from Ailuropoda melanoleuca (giant panda), 869 nucleotides. RefSeq lists it as uncharacterized. The record is from RefSeq and is a predicted model, not a curated record. The transcript has 3 exons. Lineage: Eukaryota; Metazoa; Chordata; Mammalia; Carnivora; Ursidae.
CUAUGACUCCCGCCCUGCGUCCGUCUCGCUCCGCCGGUCUUCCAAGCCAGGCAGCCUGGCCGAGAGGAGAGUGCGCAUGCGGGGGACGCCCGGACCUCCUUUCCGCUUGCGGGAGACGAUACCUUCUCCGACGUCUACUUACGCGCUUCCUCCGCCCUGCGCGCAUGCGCAAUCCUGCGCCCCGCUUCCCGGAGACACUGCGCGGCCGAGCUCGGACUGCGCAUGUGCCGGCAGCAGAUAAUCACUGUAAAAUAAUAGGAUCAUCAAUGGAUCAAAGGAUCAAAAUGCUGUUUUCACAGGAAAUUCAAAAGUUCAAGGAUGCCAUGAGGAAACAACAAGGCAAAUCCAGAAUAUGGAGCAACUGGCUUCUUCCAAAUACUGAAGUCAAGAAGAGAAACAGAAGAGGGGAAAAUGUACUUAAAAACUGAGCUGAAAAGGACUAGAGGUGUGCAAUAGUACACAAGGUCUGUGACCACCCCUGGGCCUUGGUAUGCUAGAAUUGAUGCAGGAACCAAAGGCAGAUGAAAAAUUAUUAAAUUUCCUUACUACCUACAGCCCACUGACAAGUCCUUGAAACAGGCAGAGUGACCUUCGUCUGGGGACUCAACUGUCUCGAUGUUGACAAUUCGCUAAGGGCAAAGGCAAUCUUAGGUCCAACCCCCAGGAUCCUGUAAGUCUACUUUAACAUAUAAAAAUUCCUUUGGAAACUUCCUUUAUCUCUAAACCCAAGAUACUGUUGGUAAUCAGCCCACUGAUAUACAUCUGAAGGGUCUCAUGACUAGGUUUUAUUAGAUGGUAAUAAAUUACCUUUUCACAAAAAUAGCUAGCCCCUCAAGGCCCUGGAAACCUUGCUUCGAAAUUCCUUAGAG